This 72-nucleotide transfer RNA is filed under the name Pteropus alecto (black flying fox). It matches the Rfam family "tRNA". Rfam says of the family: Transfer RNA (tRNA) molecules are approximately 80 nucleotides in length. The record is from Rfam by way of RNAcentral. Lineage: Eukaryota; Metazoa; Chordata; Mammalia; Chiroptera; Pteropodidae.
GGUUCCAUAGUGUACCUUUAGCACGUCUACUUUACACGCAGAAGGUCCUGGGUUCACACCCCAGUGAAACCA